UGCCUGUCAAAUCAUUAUAGUUUGCCUUUAAUGUAAUUAUAUACAUACAGUGAUAUUGUUUGCCUUAAAUUAGUGGAGAAUAAAGGCUUUUUCCCCUGGAGAAGAAUCCCAAUUUUGAAAAAAAAAUGGCUUAAAAUUAUUCCCAAAAAGACAACUUUUUUACCAAACAGUGCAGUCUCAGUAGUAAUUGUGCAUGAAUUCAAACUGAAAAACACUCAUUUAAACAAUUUUCUUGCCUAAAGUGACUAUAUGUGCACAUUUGAGGGUCUAUUUAUGUAUCAUCACGGGGUCUUAUUUUAAAACAGGGUUUGACUCUUGAAAAUGGGUCUGUAAAUUGAAGUUUCAGUCAUAUUCUUGGUUUAUUUUAAAUUUCCCAAUUUGAUGAAAAUGACGCAUAUUUUCCCAAUAAAAAAGGGUAGAGGUAGUUUUGAAAAAAGCCAACAAUAUCACUGACAUAUCA
This 460-nucleotide long non-coding RNA is filed under the name Mytilus galloprovincialis (Mediterranean mussel). The record is from RNAcentral. Lineage: Eukaryota; Metazoa; Mollusca; Bivalvia; Mytilida; Mytilidae.